UUCUGGCUCAGGAUGAACGCUAGCUACAGGCUUAACACAUGCAAGUCGAGGGGCAGCAUGUGGUUGCUUGCAACCAAUGAUGGCGACCGGCGCACGGGUGAGUAACGCGUAUCCAACUUCCCCUUAGUAGAGGAUAGCCCGGCGAAAGUCGGAUUAAUACUCUAUGUUCUUCAAUGCGGACAUCUAAGUUGAAGCAAAGAUUUAUCGCUAAGGGAUGGGGAUGCGUCUGAUUAGGUUGCAGGCGGGGUAACGGCCCACCUGGCCUACGAUCAGUAGGGGUUCUGAGAGGAAGGUCCCCCACACUGGUACUGAGACACGGACCAGACUCCUACGGGAGGCAGCAGUGAGGAAUAUUGGUCAAUGGGCGCGAGCCUGAACCAGCCAAGUAGCGCGCAGGACGACUGCCCUAUGGGUUGUAAACUGCUUUUAUCAGGGAAUAAAGUGAGGCACGCGUGCCUUUUUGUAUGUACCUGAUGAAUAAGGACCGGCUAAUUCCGUGCCAGCCGCCGC
Molecule: ribosomal RNA, 510 nt
Filed under: uncultured bacterium
Lineage: Bacteria
Description: bacterial SSU rRNA
Rfam family: Bacterial small subunit ribosomal RNA
Source: RNAcentral